UCAAAAAACAAAUAACGAACAAGAACCGGGAUAUAACUUUCCCACUUUUGGACAGGUUUAGCAGAGAUACUGAUAAUUAUUUUAGGCCACCAUUAAAUUUUAAUGAAUGCCGAUUUUUUUUUAAUCACAUUAACACCAUCAGCACGAAAAACACAACAGAUUUAACAGACAUACGCUACUACUAUUAUUAUCAUCCACUCACAAUAAUGAUAAAUGAAUCAUAGUGGAAUCAGCUCAACUCAGUAACCCUAAGUGUGCAUCCCUAAUGUGAGAGAAACACAACUGAUGCUGUUCCCCCAAAGGCUGAAGAGAACGCAGAGCACACCAAACUAUAACCAGGACCAUGGUAUUAGCUACUGGCUAGCUAAUUAGCAUAUGCAGUGGUCCUUUAUGGCUGGAAUCUACCUUUUGGUCGCAAAACAACAGAGGUAAAAGACGUGAGCCGAUAUCGUCUAUAUCGGAGCAAGGCGGGCGCCAGGACGGACACGACAGGAACUCAUCCUUCACGGUUGAGACGGUGCCUGUUGGCUCUCGAGAAGCAACACUUGUAUCUACUUUGGAAUACGCACAUUAGACGCCAAAGAUAAAAGGGUUUGUUGGACACCACAAAGCCCAUUGCUCUGUGGGGGACGAAGCGGCCUACAGGAUGGAGGGGGCAAGUCUGGAGGAAUGGUGCGAGGAAACCUCCUCACCCUCAAUGCAGACAAGACAAAGGAGAUGAUAGUGGACAUGAGGAAGAAGAGGCCACGUCACUGAGGACUUCACAGUGAGGGACAUCCAAGACUCACAGCUGGUCAAGAAGGCUCGACAGUGGCUGUACGUUCUGAGGAGGCAGAGGAAGUCAACUUCUAGCUGCAUCCUGAGAGCAUGACUGUGUGGUACAGCGCCACUAAAGCCAUGGAGCAAAAACACCCGCAGGGAGGAUAAUCAGGACCCCGGUGCCGUCUCUGCAGAGCAUCGACCACCACAGAGUCCACAGCAGAGCUGCCUCCAUCAUCAAGGACCCCACCCUCCCACAACACGGACUGUUCACACUUCUGCCCUCAGGACGGAGGUACAGGAGUGUGAAAUGCAGUACAACCCGUCUAAAGUAGUCGUUGUAGCUAUUUUUAAGCCUUAAUAUUUCUCUUGAUUUGUUUUACUUUUGGUUGUAUCUUUUUUUUACGAUUCUCUUUAUGCUGGUAAUGUGAGUGGACAGCAAAGUAAGAAUUUCAUUGUACAUGGAAACCUGUUUCUUUACUGUCUACAUGACAAUAAAGACUCUGAAUUGA
Doryrhamphus excisus (bluestripe pipefish) is the source of this 1271-nucleotide non-coding RNA. The record is from RefSeq and is a predicted model, not a curated record. Lineage: Eukaryota; Metazoa; Chordata; Actinopteri; Syngnathiformes; Syngnathidae.